UCCAACCCAGAGAAGAAGCCAAUAGAGGGUGAGAGAGACCCGACUCGAAGGCGGACAAGAAGAACGCCGACCCCCGCCUCUCUCAGAUGGUGGCGAACAGGGCUGGAGAUGGAUCGCGCGGCUCUGUGCAUUCAUUCCGUCCUCUCGACGGCGAUGCGCUUCGUCUCAUAUGCCCUGAUGCGAAUUCUUUGGCUACUUAAAGAUUGUAUCCCUUCGGAGAUAAUGGUUGUCUUUAGGUCUUGCCUUCUGUAAUCGCUGCUUCGAUCGCGCUUGUUGGGUGAUUCACCAUCGAUCCAAGAAGUCAUCCUGGGAGGAAUAGCAAUUGCAAGAAAGAUAUGGAGGAACAACCUCACCGCCACCAAAAGAAGAAAAGAAAUUGGCAUCAUCGUCGCCUCUCUCUUCUAAUUCUUCUUCAUGUUGUAGGAAUCGAGGACGACAUCCAAGGAGCGUUGGGAAAUCAGUCACCCAAGAAAAGUCGAGGCCAGUUUGCCAGACCUUGCGGGCAUCAUCGUCGAGACUACAUCCAAGGUUGAUGAUCCGCAAACGCGUACACAUUACGCGACUGAUAUCUAUGAGUACCUCAGAUCAUUGGAGGUUGGUCUUCCACAAGAGGAUUCUUGAAACUGAACGAGAAAGCAAUCCGAUGGAAGACUACCAGAAUACAAUACAAGCAGCCUCAGUUUACAUCGCUUGUUUCUUGCAAACUAGCCAGAUGGCAGUCAGUUGGGUUUGGCAUAUCUGAAGAAAUACCUAAGGUUAGUCUCGAGAAGGCAUCGCAUCAUAAACUAUCUAUUUGCGUUGUGAGCGAAUAGAACUUAAAGAGUAGCAAUUGUUCGAUCGAAGUUAAUCUUGAUCUCGAUAGUUACUUCGAGAAAGUUGGUUUCUAUCAGGUUGUUACGUUUUACUAUUUUGUGAAACCAUUUCCAAAUGGAUCUAAUCAGUAAUUCUUUAAUAACCGUAUUGGGGGAUUGAAGAUGCCUGCAGGGGGAGCCCACACUGAAGCUGACGUGGCUCCAUCGUGGGAGAACCAGCAUCGGAAAGCUUUCUGACACGGACCGGUCAAGAAGAUGCCAAAGAAGUACGCAGAGCAGAAAAACCCUGGGAUGAAACACAUGUGCCAUAUAGCUCAUGAUGUUUACCGGAAGGACGAAGUGUUGAACAUGGAGAUCAGCAUUCUAAGACAUAUGAGAUUUGAUAUGGGCAGUCCCACGGUCAAGACAUUUCUAGGAUGCCCUUUCUCGAGUCCUUCUAGUGUCAUGAGAUUUUGCGCAGCGUUAAGCGUCUGGUGAAUUCUCUUCUCUUAUAAGUUUGAUCGCUAAUUAAAUUUGCUAUAUUGUGGUUAUAGGAGAUUCACACAGGCUGGUAGAGACGAUGGCAAAUACUUGUAUGCGAACUUAGAAUUCCUGGCAAGCUACCUUGGUGAGUUGACUCUAAUGGACUAUGGCUGUGUUUGGUUCUUGCCAUCGGUAGUUGCAGCUUCUGCUGUUUUCGUUGCUAGAUUCACGCUCGAUCCGAGAAGUCAUCCCUGGAGCCAAAACUUGAAACCGUGCACUCGUUAUAUGAUGUGAUUGAUCUCAAGUUUCCAUGUCAUGAUUUGCAUUUUAACGAGGAAACAUCCCACUAUAUGGGCAACAGAUACAGAUACUGUCUCGACGAAGUUUUAUCUUUCAUACAGAACUACAUCUAUAUAUGUUGACAAGUUAUUCUAACCUUAUCUUUGUUCGCCA
Musa acuminata AAA Group (dessert banana) is the source of this 1727-nucleotide RNA transcript. RefSeq lists it as uncharacterized. The transcript has 9 exons. NCBI's taxonomy places the organism in Eukaryota, Viridiplantae, Streptophyta, Magnoliopsida, Zingiberales, Musaceae. The record is from RefSeq and is a predicted model, not a curated record.